GACGAACGCUGGCGGCGUGCUUAACACAUGCAAGUCGAACGGAAAGGCCCUGCUUGCAGGGUACUCGAGUGGCGAACGGGUGAGUAACACGUGGGUGAUCUGCCCUGCACUUCGGGAUAAGCCUGGGAAACUGGGUCUAAUACCGGAUAGGAGCCAUUUUUAGUGUGGUGGUUGGAAAGUUUUUUCGGUGUAGGAUGAGCUCGCGGCCUAUCAGCUUGUUGGUGGGGUGAUGGCCUACCAAGGCGGCGACGGGUAGCCGGCCUGAGAGGGUGGACCGCGACAUUGGGACUGAGAUACGGCCCAGGCACCUAAGGGAGGGAGCAGGGGGGAAUAUUGAACAAGGGGCGCCAGCCUGAUGCAGCGAGGCCGCGGGGGGGAUGACGGCCUUCGGGUUGUAAACUCCUUUCGCUAGGGACGAAGCUUUUUGUGACGGUACCUAGAUAAGAAGCACCGGCUAACUACGUG
This 465-nucleotide ribosomal RNA is filed under the name uncultured bacterium. RNAcentral describes it as "partial 16S ribosomal RNA". It matches the Rfam family "Bacterial small subunit ribosomal RNA", at positions 28 to 507 of the family's 1533-position model. The record is from RNAcentral.